Molecule: unclassified non-coding RNA, 425 nt
Filed under: Hevea brasiliensis (rubber tree)
Lineage: Eukaryota; Viridiplantae; Streptophyta; Magnoliopsida; Malpighiales; Euphorbiaceae
Source: RNAcentral
GCAAUAGCAUUCUCAAAGGUUCUCAUUACUUGUCUUCUUCCCAUCUCACAAUUUCAUUAAUUUGCUUCUCUGUAUGGUUUCCAAAUAGAAUGAUAAAUUCUUCUAAGUUCUUAUAUCUUUCCAUGCUUUAAAAGAAAAUGAAUCUUAGAUUUACUUGGAGACAUUCAUUACAGAAGUCCCAAGGAUUAGCUGUUUCUGUACUCUUCAGAAAAUUUAGGCAAUAGGACAUUGGAUUCAUUUGUAUAGUGCAAAAGCAAUUCUUCUAUGGAGUAGCAUCUGCAUUCUUUAUUGGAUUACAUUUUAAAUAAUCAGAAUAAUUAUCAGAGGGAACAAAAAGAUUAAAAGAAGUUUUUAAAUAGCAAUUUUUUUCCUUGGAUUUUGUUCAUGUCAUUAACAUUCAGUGCAUGUUGAAAGGCUUCUUGGUG